UACGUAGGGUGCAAGCGUUGUCCGGAAUUAUUGGGCGUAAAGAGCUCGUAGGCGGUUUGUCGCGUCUGCUGUGAAAACCCGAGGCUCAACCUCGGGCCUGCAGUGGGUACGGGCAGACUAGAGUGCGGUAGGGGAGAUUGGAAUUCCUGGUGUAGCGGUGGAAUGUGCAGAUAUCAGGAGGAACACCAAUGGCGAAGGCAGAUCUCUGGGCCGUAACUGACGCUGAGGAGCGAAAGCAUGGGGAGCGAACAGG
RNAcentral lists this ribosomal RNA (253 nucleotides) under uncultured bacterium. Its description in RNAcentral is "partial 16S ribosomal RNA". It matches the Rfam family "Bacterial small subunit ribosomal RNA", at positions 524 to 776 of the family's 1533-position model. The record is from RNAcentral.